GUUUAGGAAAAAAAGAUUGUUUCCAGUUUUUGGAGAAAAAAUAAUUUGUUUUUGUUGUUUGUUUCACCCUUAGCUGCCACUAUAUGCAAUGCUAAAAUUGAAAGUAAAAAAAUGUUUUCGACAUUGAGUUGUCGCAAAAACAAAGUUUGUACGGGAAAAAAAUCCAUAGCCCCCCCCUCCCCCUCCGAAAAUCAAAUGGUUGCUGCCUUAAUUGUUUGGAUU
Molecule: long non-coding RNA, 222 nt
Filed under: Mytilus galloprovincialis (Mediterranean mussel)
Lineage: Eukaryota; Metazoa; Mollusca; Bivalvia; Mytilida; Mytilidae
Source: RNAcentral